UACGUAGGGGGCUAGCGUUGUCCGGAAUCAUUGGGCGUAAAGCGCGCGUAGGCGGCCCGGUAAGUCCGUUGUGAAAGUCAAAGGCUCAACCUUUGAAUGCCGAUGGAUACUGCCGGGCUAGAGUCCGGAAGAGGCGAGUGGAAUUCCUGGUGUAGCGGUGGAAUGCGCAGAUAUCAGGAGGAACACCGAUAGCGAAGGCAGCUCGCUGGGACGGUACUGACGCUGAGACGCGAAAGCGUGGGGAGCAAACAGG
This 253-nucleotide ribosomal RNA is filed under the name uncultured bacterium. RNAcentral's name for it is "partial 16S ribosomal RNA". It matches the Rfam family "Bacterial small subunit ribosomal RNA", at positions 524 to 776 of the family's 1533-position model. The record is from RNAcentral.